This 464-nucleotide ribosomal RNA is filed under the name Pseudomonas cedrina. RNAcentral describes it as "bacterial SSU rRNA". It matches the Rfam family "Bacterial small subunit ribosomal RNA", at positions 30 to 491 of the family's 1533-position model. Lineage: Bacteria; Pseudomonadati; Pseudomonadota; Gammaproteobacteria; Pseudomonadales; Pseudomonadaceae. The record is from RNAcentral.
UGAACGCUGGCGGCAGGCCUAACACAUGCAAGUCGAGCGGUAGAGAGAAGCUUGCUUCUCUUGAGAGCGGCGGACGGGUGAGUAAUGCCUAGGAAUCUGCCUGGUAGUGGGGGAUAACGUUCGGAAACGGACGCUAAUACCGCAUACGUCCUACGGGAGAAAGCAGGGGACCUUCGGGCCUUGCGCUAUCAGAUGAGCCUAGGUCGGAUUAGCUAGUUGGUGAGGUAAUGGCUCACCAAGGCGACGAUCCGUAACUGGUCUGAGAGGAUGAUCAGUCACACUGGAACUGAGACACGGUCCAGACUCCUACGGGAGGCAGCAGUGGGGAAUAUUGGACAAUGGGCGAAAGCCUGAUCCAGCCAUGCCGCGUGUGUGAAGAAGGUCUUCGGAUUGUAAAGCACUUUAAGUUGGGAGGAAGGGUUGUAGAUUAAUACUCUGCAAUUUGACGAACCGACAGAAUAAGC